AUAGUUAGCCGGCAGGGGAGAUACCAUGACCACAAAGGAGGUUUUCCCAGAGCAAGGCUUAUCCUUUGCACUCCUGAUGUGCUGACCAUUGAGAUUUCCCCAAAUGUGGGAAACUCGACUGCAUAAUUUGUGGUAGUGGGGGACUAUGUUUGUGCUUUAC
Small nuclear RNA from Fukomys damarensis (Damara mole-rat), 160 nucleotides. Its record names the gene U1. It matches the Rfam family "U1 spliceosomal RNA". From Rfam's summary of the family: U1 is a small nuclear RNA (snRNA) component of the spliceosome (involved in pre-mRNA splicing). Its 5' end forms complementary base pairs with the 5' splice junction, thus defining the 5' donor site of an intron. Lineage: Eukaryota; Metazoa; Chordata; Mammalia; Rodentia; Bathyergidae. The record is from Ensembl.